AAAAAAUGUAAACAUCAACAAAAACAUUCAUCUUCUACGCAGCGCUUACACGAAUCUUUCUCUAGAUCGAUAUUUACAAACAUCGUAGUACAAUAAUUCGUAGCCCUACUGGCAGCAUUCAGUAUCACAGACACAUUUGUCUAGCUUGGAACGAGAGAAAGAAACUCAUCUGGUAAACUCGCGGACGGGACAAUUACAGUAUACGUCUCUGAAUACCAUGGUCUUCUCUACGACUUGUACGAGGUUAUUCGACAGCGGUUCGAUGCAGAAGUUCAAGAUUCUUUUCCACGAUAUCGAGAUAUCAAAUCUUGAUCGAAGAGAAAUUAGUUAGAUCGAAAAUAAGGAAAGACAUAAGGACGACGAAAUUGGACAAUAAAGCUGGUUCUUGGAGUUAAACAAAACGUAUCUGUUAAACGGAAUACUGUUAGGAAAUCUGCUCGCCAAACAAGGGCACUGCCGUACUUCCGAAUGACAUCGUAGUCUGUUCUCUGUGUAACAGAUUCCCGGACUCGAGAUUGUCAAUCGAAACAGGACUUUCGACAUGCUUGUUACCACGUGACUUAAGCGUGUUCUAAGACAUGCCGACUGGAGGCAGGGAGAUGAGGAGAGAGUUGGAAACUUUGAAUCUUGCAAACAGCCUCGAGGACUUGUUCGCCACCCUCGCGAAGACUAAUAAAGCUACGAACUGCGAAUAGGGAUGGUAAAUGGCGGGAUUGCUAGAUAAGAAGUGGUCACCACCCAUUAAAAUUAUUCGGUUACUUACGAGAAUGAAACUAAAGUAAAUAUGGAAAUAAUUAAAAACAGUUCAAAGUGUACCGUCGGUCACAAAAAUUUACACACACACUCGACGAAUUUUAUGUAUCCGACUUAUCAGAAGAAAUUAAAAAUGUAGUUUGUACAAAAUCAUUUAGAGUUAUACGCAAAAUGAUCUUGCUCGAUAUAUUAUGGUAUUUCUAAAAAGAAUUAAAAAUAUAAAGCAUUUACGCACAAAAAUUUUAUCAAUGGCGAGAAUAUUGCGGGCCGUAGGCUGUUAUUGAGUCUUAUUAGGACUUCCAACGUGUUAAUAUUGAAUCUACUUGUUUCGUGACUUCAUUAGUUAGGAUCAAGACGCGUUCAAACAAAUGAGGCAGGCAUUUGAAAUCCUUACAGCGAGAAAGCAAUUAAAUUGGCGCCCCGCUGCUCUCUUCUUUCGUGAAAUCAGCCGGUGAGAAAGCGGUAAAAUUCGAUUAUUACCGAGCUUAAUGGCGCGGCUUAAACAUCUUUAGUUCAUCUUUGCCAAUGUCCAUCGCGAUUUUCGGCUUCACACUCGAAUGCUUGGCAAUUUUGUGAUCGUCAACGACUCGAAUGGAACGGCAGUUUUCACUGCCACGCAUUUGCGACGAGUUCCUUUUAAAAGUUUCCAUGGAGCAACUGGAGUAAAAAAAUCUCUUUAUGUUCGAUAUAUAAAGGGAAGGGCAAGAAUAAUCGAUAACUUUAUUCCUCUGCCACUAUAGGAUUUUGAGGAGAAAUAAAAAAUGUCUAGUGGGCGAUAUAAAGUUUUUAGAAUGGUAUUUGCGUUUAUAAAAUUAUCAGUAUAUUUGAGGAAGCCCGAGAGUAAUGAAUAAUAGGAACAGGAAAAAAAGGGAAUGGAAAUAACUAUAUGUUAGCGUCGACUCUUCUAUAGAGAUGAUGUCAAGGUCGACGCAUCGCGCGGUGUCGAAUCCAUCUCCAAGCCGGAACCAUAAAUGUGUCAUCGUGGUUUAGGAUCGAUCUCGAUAGCGGCUUUGAAUGGCGAUACUCUGAAGGACUGUUGCGGUUCUAAUUCGUGGAUGUUACAGCUAUAGUUUCGGGGUGCCGACUGUCAACAAGAGGAUCAAGAGGAUCAACUCUCUCUGUUGUUCCACGCGCCGCGCCGCCGAUGACUUGGGAACACUCGGACUCGCGGUAGAGAGCGAUAAGAGUUUUCUAGAAGGAUCUGAUCAUGGAACGCUGGCAGGCUGAUAAAUCCUCCGACAACAGAACUGACAAUGAGCGAAAAACCUCAGCACUUACCUCACAAUCUUCGCGAGAUUCUCAUCGUCCAAGAUGGAUAUAUCGUCGAAUUUCGAGAUACGUAUUGUUUAACAAGUAGAAGUUAGAAAUUAGUCAAUUAAAUAAUGAUGAUAGAAUACGUAUAAAUUUAAUUGAAAUCUGUGAAAUUAUUUAUUAAGCUUUUAGUUAAGAAUUAAAUUUUAUUAACAGUGAAAUAAUUAAUUUAAUGUUUCUGGACAAAAAAAAAAGGAUUGAUAUUUAAUGAAAAUUCUAAUAUACUUCAAUACGUACGUACAUAUAUUCACAUGAAAAAUUUCUCACAAAGUCGAUCCAUAAAUGGAUGCACUAUUUCAGAUCGCAAUUUUAUAUAAACGAAUAAAUAAUUUCACAAUUAAAAAUAAUAGUUGACGUAAAACACGAAGUUGUAUUGACCGACUUUUAUGUCUAGUCUGUAAUUAACACAGGUUUUUUUCACAGUGAAACCAGACAAUCUUAUGAUAAUUACGUACGAUUCUAUAACGAACGCGACGCAACGUCUGGAUCGACUGGAUUCAACGAAAGCAGCCUGAAUCCUGAGACUUCCUAAACUUAUUACGCUUCCUUGACGUUGAAAAUAAACGAUGAAGAGCGGCAGUCGGUAAAAACCGGGGAAUUUUUGUAAAACAAGUGGCUGCAACUCAGCUUGACGCCGCGCCGUGGAAACCGACUUCGAGGUUGCAUUAAGAGCUCCGCGGUAAAGUGUACUGUCAAUAAUUUAGAAACCCUCCGAUGAGGUUUUCUUUUCAAGCCAGCUACCGUACAGCGGAGACCAAUAGAAUGGUAAUAAGAUAAAGAAAAUGGGACGGAGGUACUCGAUUAUUGAUUGAUUGCAUAUGAGAAGGAUGAUGUGAAAGUACGGAAGUUACAGAUAUAUGAUUGAUCGGUGACAGGCUGUCGAAGACAGUUUGUAAAAAUAGAAUGUGCUAAUAAAAUCGAAUGGAUGUCAAGUGUUUUUUUAGCUCUGGUUCGAGCUUGUUCUGCGCUUGAACGCUAAUAAACUUCACAUUACUCAAUCAGCCAUUGACGUGCUGAACAAGUAUCACAUCAUAUCUACUUCUAUGUUCAUCAAAUAAAACUACGUCAAUAGCACUCAAAAGAAACAGAGGCGAAACAAGUAUGUAUAUAAGAGCGAGAAGCAUUAUACUAGUAGUACGCAAGUAGUAGCAGCCUAUCAUUAGUCAGACUGAAGAUAACAGGCACUCCUCAAACUUGGCUCGAAAUGACUCUGGCAUACGGCCAACAAAACGAACCAUGACGCGAUACAUUUCUUUCUAUUGCUUUCGUCACGAGUGUACACGCAACUGAAUCAAAUGGAUACCUUCCUACAUCUUGGCCAAUAUAAAAAAAGAGUUUACGAGUUCGAUGAACGUCGCCGAUUAUGUCUGGAGCUGAAUUAUUUAAUAAAAAUGAGAAAGUAUCGCGUGUUAAGUUGCAGUUCCGUUGUAACUUCCGGCAGACGUGUUACUACCCUUUUUCAUGCCGUUAACUCGUGCCUGAAGAGAGGUGUAGAAAAGGACAACGCGGAAAUGGAGGACGAAAACGGAGCGCGGCAAAAUUAUUACGAAAUAAUUAGAGUUACCAUUAGUCACGAGUCGUUUCAUGACUGAUCGAUGAUACGGAAAUUGAGUCAUCAAGGGACGUUCCGUGUCGUACGUGAAUAUAUAUAUAAAACUAUCAGCAGUUCCUUUACCGAUCAAUAAUCCUCCAAAGGCAAAUAAUUUAAUCGGUAGAUUUCACGUGUCGCGACAUUUUAAUUUCUAAAACGUUACAUCGUCUAGCGUUAAAUGUAAUUUUCGUUGCGUUAUUCUGUUGCAAAUUUUAACGUCCUAUUAACGCUAGAACCAAGUUCUAUUAAAUAUAGCAAGCACUUAAAAUAAUACGUACAAAGGUACCACUUGAACUGGAAAUAUCGAAAUCACGUUUUUCUGGAAUGAAUAAUACAAGGACGAGGGGAUUGCUGGUUCUCGUAAGAGUCGGACUAAAGUUUUACAAGUCGAUAAUAGAGAAUAGUUAGGGGUACAAAAAUUCUUCUCAUGCAAGAAUAUGUAACAAAUUUGAUUGUCUGUUAAAAUUGUCUGUCAUGUACUACGUCUACGUUUUUGUUAUUGAUUAUUUUAUUAUUGAUUGAAAUUUCAGCAGGAGUUCGUUUCUUGGCUAACAUUUGGCUUUAAACUGUAAACGCGACAUAGUAAAAGGUGAAGUAACGUUCAAUUUUCAACAAACAUAAAAAGCUCGUUACUACAACGACAACGGCUAACCUCAUAUUUCUUGUCGCUCCAUGCAAGAAUACCAUCAAUAACGGCGCAAUAACGUAUACUUACAUACACAGAAGGAGUAACAUACAGAAAGUGACGGAGCCAUAACUGUAUGACACGUAACUAUAGCUAUUCACCUUUUGUUCUGUUAAUUGUUACUUUCUUGUUCUUUUGGUACUUUCUUACCACGAAAAUUUUCUUCGUUUAAAUCGUACUAAUUUUUAAAUAACAUAAAUUUUGGAUAAUAGCAAUAUCUUUUCAUAUUUAUGAAAAAAGUUUGCUGAACUACAAGAUAUAAAUUUUUACUUAAACAAUAAGAAAAGAGUACUACUUGAACAUAUUUAUAUUCAAUUUCAUGACAGAUCAACGCUUAGUUUGCGAAUAAUAAAGAUAUCAGAAAUAUGUGUUUUACACAAACUCAAAAUGAUCAGAUCUCCUUAGGCUGAAAUAUUCGAAGUAUUUGGAAAAAGAGUUCUGAUAAUUUGAAGUGUAAAAAGAAGUUACAUGUGUCAAAAAAAUUAUAUAAUUGGGCAGCCAAAUAAAUAUGGGACAAUUCGUGUAUCGAAACAGACCGACAAUUUCUUGAUUACUAUUUGAGUAAAUGAAACUGUCUAUUGUCUAUUGAAUCUAUUUGUCCUUUUAUUCGUUCGAAUGCAGAUAAUUAUGUAAUGUUACGUAUACUGUAAUUAUGUGUAAAUAUCGCAGUAAAUCCACUGAAAGACCAUGAUUUCGGGGCAUGUGUCAAAAAUUUAACUUUAUCAUACGAAAGCAACAAAUUCGAAAAACCCAAUUGCGUCCAAUCGCUACAACGGUCAGGCUUAUUUACAGUCAGCAAGAAGAAACCGUUUAUUAAUCAUAGCCCCAUCGAGCUUUGCUAAAAAAAGCGAAUCGAUAAGACGUAACUUUCGGUUGGAGUGACUCUUGAGUUUUUCAUGCGAUUUCGUCCCUUGGGAACAGGUUCUGUGACGUCUAAUGGAUCGUUCCACGGCAUUUUUUCGUUCACGCCUCAACUCUGACUGCCCCAGGCGUUAGAUAAAGACAUUAGGAUGGCCACGAUCCCGAUUCGAUUCCCUUUUUCCCCGAGAAUUCGACGACUGGUCAACGACGACAUCGAAAUUUAUACGCAUCACUUCUCGCGGCGAUCGUUUCAAUUUCGAGCCACGAAAUUGGCCUGGAUUUCGAGAGAGAACCGAUCUCGUAGUUUACGAUAGAAGAUUUCCGAUUAUUUUCUAUUAACUUGGUCUCCCUAUCCUUUUAUUUUUAUAGAGGUUUUGUUAAUACGAUAGAACGUCCAUU
This is a long non-coding RNA of Bombus huntii, 5600 nucleotides long. RefSeq lists it as uncharacterized. Lineage: Eukaryota; Metazoa; Arthropoda; Insecta; Hymenoptera; Apidae. The transcript has 9 exons. The record is from RefSeq and is a predicted model, not a curated record.